Molecule: long non-coding RNA, 891 nt
Filed under: Lotus japonicus
Lineage: Eukaryota; Viridiplantae; Streptophyta; Magnoliopsida; Fabales; Fabaceae
Description: long non-coding RNA (LJAP_LNC000475)
Source: RNAcentral
GACAUUGGGUUUUGGUUGAUUUUGGAGCUUGUUUUUCUGUUUAUUGUUUCAAUCCUUAUUUAUAGGAACUCGAUCUGUUGUUCUCCUCUACUUAUAUGGCUUGCUAUUUUUCUGUGUUGCAUAGUUUUUUCCAUUUCAAAUUUCGCCAGAACAAGAGUUAGGAACGCUGAUCUGUUUGUAUAUUUAUUUGAGGUUCUGUCUUUAAUUGUUAGAAUUUUGAGCAAAUUGACAUUAAAAAAGAAAGCAUGAAAAAUUGUACUUUGGCUUUGGAAAGCUUAUGGAGGGGCACACAUGGAUCCUCAAGAUAUCUAGGAAUUCUUGCAUCUUGGUUGCUUGUAGUUGGCUUUCCAAUUUCAGGUGCUGGUUCUCUUUGUGUUGAAGGGCUUCGCUGCUCUAUUCUUCAAGCAUCUAUGAUUUCUUUUUAAUUGGGUUCAAUUCCUCACUGCUAUCUCCAUUAAGCUUUCCCGUCAAUUUGGUGGGGCUUAUGGUUUUGGCUCAUCAAAAAAGAUGUUGCAUAGUCUGAACAACAACUGAAUGUUAUGAAACAUCGGCACCCAUAUACAUAGUUUGGAUAGCUUUGCUUUUCUCCUACAGUCCUUAUGAAAAUAAGACAGGAGGUGCAGAUGAUUGUUGCUCUGCUUGAUUUUUUUCUGUUUUUUCUCUUCUUGUAAUGAGUUGGGAUACCUUGAGUUGGGAUACCUCUUGUUCCCAUUAUUAUGGAUGCACAAGGUUUUGAGGUAGACCAGCAAGGUGUAAAUGUUGAUGCUAAUCAAGCCACUGAAAUGACUCAUGUUUGAGAAACUAUUGCAUAUCAGAUGUGGGAAUAUUACCAUAGAUCUUAAGAAUAAUUGUAUAAUUUAUAUUUUAAGAUCAAUGAUACUUAUUAUAUUU